UGUUGAUGCUGUUCGUUGUUGGAUAGGACAGAGAUAAAUGGAAAGAAGAGAAGACAGAGAGGUGGAGAGAAAGACAGACACCUGCAGACCUGCUUCACCGCCUGUGAAGCGACUCCCCUGUAGGAGAUCAUCUCACAUGAGAGCCAGAAGCCAGAGCAUCCCUCCAGUACACAUGCUUUCCCCCCCCCCUGAAUCUGGAGCCUCAGAUCCUCCUCCAGGUACUGAAAGAGACCACAAUACCAAAGCUUCCUUCAGUGUGGUGGAUGCCUGUAGAGAAACAGGAAAUGUCCGGAGCGCUCCUCAACUGUGGCUUCUGGUGGUGAUUGAACCUGGGACUUUGGAUACUCGGGUGGUCCAGGAGGUGGCGCAGUGAAGACAGCAUUGAACUCUCAAGCAUGAAGUCUUGAGUUCGAUCUCUGACAGCACAUGUACAAGAGUGAUGUCUGGUUCUUUCUCUCCUCCUAUCUUUCCCAUCAAUCAAUCAAUAAAAUAUUUUUAAAGAAUUUAAAA
Molecule: long non-coding RNA, 510 nt
Organism: Erinaceus europaeus (western European hedgehog)
Lineage: Eukaryota; Metazoa; Chordata; Mammalia; Eulipotyphla; Erinaceidae
Exons: 5
Source: RefSeq, a predicted model, not a curated record